This 443-nucleotide ribosomal RNA is filed under the name uncultured bacterium. RNAcentral's name for it is "partial 16S ribosomal RNA". It matches the Rfam family "Bacterial small subunit ribosomal RNA", at positions 338 to 795 of the family's 1533-position model. The record is from RNAcentral.
CCUACGGGAGGCAGCAGUGGGGAAUAUUGGGCAAUGGGCGCAAGCCUGACCCAGCAACGCCGCGUGAAGGAAGAAGGCUUUCGGGUUGUAAACUUCUUUUCUCAGGGACGAAGAAAGUGACGGUACCUGAGGAAUAAGCCACGGCUAACUACGUGCCAGCAGCCGCGGUAAUACGUAGGUGGCAAGCGUUAUCCGGAUUUAUUGGGUGUAAAGGGCGUGUAGGCGGGAGCGCAAGUCAGAUGUGAAAACUCAGGGCUCAACCCUGAGCCUGCAUUUGAAACUGUGGUUCUUGAGUGCUGGGGAGGCAAUCGGAAUGCCGGGUGUAGCGGUGAAAUGCGUAGAUAUACGGAGGAACACCAGUGGCGAAGGCGGAUUGCUGGACAGUAACUGACGCUGAGGCGCGAAAGCGUGGGGAGCAAACAGGAUUAGAUACCCGAGUAGUC